Oncorhynchus mykiss (rainbow trout) is the source of this 795-nucleotide non-coding RNA. The record is from RefSeq and is a predicted model, not a curated record. Lineage: Eukaryota; Metazoa; Chordata; Actinopteri; Salmoniformes; Salmonidae.
AUAUCUAGCAACAUGUCGAUGGUCCCUAACUUUGAUGUACUUUAGCUAGCAAGCAAGACAAGGCAGCAACAUAUUCAGCAGCUAGUUAGUCGUGUAAGCUUUGAAAGAGGAGAAAGUCCAUUGAUCUUGCGCUCUACCUCAACAUGACGACCAAGCAGGAAUUCUUUGUGGACAUGACAUGUGAGGGAUGCUCUGGUGCAGUUACCCGAGUCCUCAAUAAACUGGGUGGUGUCCAAUUUGAGAUCGACCUCCCCAACAAGAAGGUUUUCAUUGAGUCUGACAAGGACACGGACGUGCUUCUGGAAACACUUAAGAAGACUGGAAAGGAGGCUAACUACAUCGGCCCCAAGUGAAGAAUCCUCCUCUUUCCUCUUAUAGACCAGCUGUUGGGUUGGUGAUUAUCUGAAGGAUGACUAUGAGAAGAAAGAACCCUCUGACUGCAGAACAGUCUUGCUGUUAUGUCUUCAUGGAUCACUGUAAAGAGUCCACGCUGCCAAGCUGUCCACUUUUGUUAUUUAAACACUAUUAUUUAUGCAUCCCAAAUGGCACCCUAUGGACCCCAGUCCAAAGUAAGGCACUAUUAUACGGAAUAGAGUACUGUUUGGGACGCAUCCACUAUGAAAAUCCAGUACGAUUGCUGACAAAAUUAAAUAGAUCAUGUACCUCUAUGGGUAAAUGUUAGGCCUACUGCAGGUAAAUUAGAUUAUGGGGGGGAAUCAUCCUGUAUUAAGGUUUCCUUUCAUCUCUGAAUAUUGUUCAUGUUCACCCAUAUGUAAAAUUAAAAAGUUGAUUCUA